GUCUGUCAAUGAUGUUCUUCCUUACUAACCCUAACCUACCUUGUUUGAGAACAUAUGAGAACUUACAAGUAUCUGAGACAAAC
Small nucleolar RNA from Alosa sapidissima (American shad), 83 nucleotides. RefSeq annotates it as small nucleolar RNA SNORD34. The transcript has a single exon. Lineage: Eukaryota; Metazoa; Chordata; Actinopteri; Clupeiformes; Clupeidae. The record is from RefSeq and is a predicted model, not a curated record.